This 484-nucleotide ribosomal RNA is filed under the name uncultured bacterium. Its description in RNAcentral is "partial 16S ribosomal RNA". It matches the Rfam family "Bacterial small subunit ribosomal RNA", at positions 30 to 507 of the family's 1533-position model. The record is from RNAcentral.
AUUGAACGCUGGCGGCAGGCCUAACACAUGCAAGUCGAGCGGAUGAAGGGAGCUUGCUCCUGGAUUCAGCGGCGGACGGGUGAGUAAUGCCUAGGAAUCUGCCUGGUAGUGGGGGAUAACGUCCGGAAACGGGCGCUAAUACCGCAUACGUCCUGAGGGAGAAAGUGGGGGAUCUUCGGACCUCACGCUAUCAGAUGAGCCUAGGUCGGAUUAGCUAGUUGGUGGGGUAAAGGCCUACCAAGGCGACGAUCCGUAACUGGUCUGAGAGGAUGAUCAGUCACACUGGAACUGAGACACGGUCCAGACUCCUACGGGAGGCAGCAGUGGGGAAUAUUGGACAAUGGGCGAAAGCCUGAUCCAGCCAUGCCGCGUGUGUGAAGAAGGUCUUCGGAUUGUAAAGCACUUUAAGUUGGGAGGAAGGGCAGUAAGUUAAUACCUUGCUGUUUUGACGGUACCAACUGAAUAAGCAACGGCUAACUUCGUG